This 912-nucleotide long non-coding RNA is filed under the name Malus domestica (apple). RNAcentral's name for it is "long non-coding RNA (MDOM_LNC002002)". The record is from RNAcentral. Lineage: Eukaryota; Viridiplantae; Streptophyta; Magnoliopsida; Rosales; Rosaceae.
CGAAUCACAUUGGAUAGUAGACAUGAAUAAACUAUCAAACCAAACAAUGUGGUCAAGAGUAUUAUAUUAGAGAAAGACCGUAUUGUAUUUGUAAUCCUAAACUGAAUAGGUUCUCCACCUCUUCUGAUUAGCUUGGGUAACCAUGAUAUGUGCUAGGUGUCACUCAUGAUUUGUGGAAGCCCUAAAUGUGUAUAAUCACUAAAGGGAGAAUUGAAAGUAAGUUUCAAUUCACAAUCGGUUUGAAAGAGUUCUAAUCGCCCACUGCCUCGCUAAAAGGAACCUAAUGGAUCGUACACCGUGUAAGGUAAAGAUUGAAGAAACAACGGAGAUGAGUAAGAAUAAUUAAAUGGUUUAAUUAUUUAUGGCAAGGAUUAAUUAAUAUGUUAAUUAAUCAAACAAAUAAGUUCGUUAAAAGACCACGGGUUAGUUUUGGGCCUCAAGGCCCAAUGGGCUUCGAACGUCAAGCUCAUUGACUUAAGUUGUAUGACAACUUAAUUCACAAAGGCCCAAAAGCCCAAUAAAACCCUUGUGGCCGGCCAUGUUAGAAGAAUGGCUUUGGUUCUUUAGGUCACUUAUUUAAAGGGACUAUAUAAAGGACUUUAUAGCCUAAAUUCAAUAAAGGGUUUCUUUUUAGGAAAUUGGAGAGAACACAAAGCUCUCCUUUCUCUCUAAAGAGGCCGGCCACCUUAGAGGAAAUUAACUAGCAAUCUUGCUUCCUCUAGGUCACUCAUUUCUUCAUCAAUCCAUCCUUGGUGUGGAGACUUAGAGGUUCUCAAUUUUGGGAACUUGGAGAAUCUUUUCUUCCAUCCAAAUCCAUGGAUCUAAGAAGCAAGGAAUGAAGGCUCUCUCCUUGGGUGAUUAGCCUUUGCUUAUGCAAAGAGGAAUCUACAAAGGUAUAAAUUUCUCAACUCA